Molecule: microRNA precursor, 87 nt
Filed under: Solanum tuberosum (potato)
Lineage: Eukaryota; Viridiplantae; Streptophyta; Magnoliopsida; Solanales; Solanaceae
Description: MIR8024 microRNA precursor family
Rfam family: MIR8024 microRNA precursor family
Source: Rfam by way of RNAcentral
UUGGAGGAUUUGAAGACUUUAACUUACAAACUUGAAGAAUUUGAAGACAUCAACUUGCAUAUUUGGAGGAUUUUGAAAACUUCAACU